UACAGAGGUCUCAAGCGUUGUUCGGAUUCAUUGGGCGUAAAGGGUGCGUAGGUGGGCUGGUAAGUCCGUGGUGAAAUCUCCAAGCUUAACUUGGAAACUGCCGUGGAUACUAUUAGUCUUGAAUGUUGUGGAGGUAAGCGGAAUAUGUCAUGUAGCGGUGAAAUGCUUAGAUAUGACAUAGAACACCGAUAGCGAAGGCAGCUUGCUACACAAUUAUUGACACUGAGGCACGAAAGCGUGGGGAUCAAACAGG
RNAcentral lists this ribosomal RNA (253 nucleotides) under uncultured bacterium. RNAcentral's name for it is "partial 16S ribosomal RNA". It matches the Rfam family "Bacterial small subunit ribosomal RNA", at positions 524 to 776 of the family's 1533-position model. The record is from RNAcentral.